ACCUGAGUGGCUCAGCUGGUUAAGCAUCUGACUUCAGCCCAGGUCAUGAUCACACAGUUCGUGGGUUUGAGCCCCACAUCAGGUU
Molecule: transfer RNA, 85 nt
Filed under: Felis catus (domestic cat)
Lineage: Eukaryota; Metazoa; Chordata; Mammalia; Carnivora; Felidae
Also listed under: 4 other names
Rfam family: tRNA
About the family: Transfer RNA (tRNA) molecules are approximately 80 nucleotides in length. Their secondary structure includes four short double-helical elements and three loops (D, anti-codon, and T loops).
Source: Rfam by way of RNAcentral